AUGACGAUAUAUGAUGAACUGAUUGAGAUGGGAGAAGCUGGUUCUAGAAGAACGUUUUUCCUUCAAAUUCUAUCUGGUGGCAUUGUCCUAGACUCCUUAGUUACGCUGAAGACGAAGAUGCGAGCAAUGGGAACAGCAGCAACGACACUGGCUAUAGCCAAAGUAGCAGCGAUUAUGGCUGUAGCAAAAGCAACAACGAUUCUGGCCUUAGCGAAAGCAGCAACGAUUCUGGCAGCAGCGAAGGCAACAAGAAGGAUGAUCCGGACUGGAGUGGGGGAGAAGAGGAGUAGAGUGGGGAUGAGGAGCUGUAGGAUGACGAUGGGCAUCAGGCUGAGGAUGACCUAG
RNAcentral lists this ribosomal RNA (345 nucleotides) under Triticum aestivum (bread wheat). RNAcentral's name for it is "partial small subunit ribosomal RNA". Lineage: Eukaryota; Viridiplantae; Streptophyta; Magnoliopsida; Poales; Poaceae. The record is from RNAcentral.